ACGUGUAAAUUGGCAAAUUAAUCUGCGAAUCACUUGCGUUCCGAACGGUAGGGUCUCAUCCAUACGUAUUACGGAUCAGCUGCGAUCCGUUUAACUCCUAAUAUGUUUUUUUAAGUAAUUUU
Molecule: long non-coding RNA, 122 nt
Organism: Sinocyclocheilus anshuiensis
Lineage: Eukaryota; Metazoa; Chordata; Actinopteri; Cypriniformes; Cyprinidae
Exons: 3
Source: RefSeq, a predicted model, not a curated record